UGUGGGUAGCACACUAAGCAAUACUUUGUGAUAAACGGUAAAGAGGAAACCAUGACAUAGUAAGCAGGGUGAGCAAUCCUGUUUGAAUGAUGGGCAAAUGCAGAAUAGUCUGAUAAGAACUAUAGACAUGGUGAGUAUUAGCUUAUUCUUUCCUUGGCAUAACAGGCUAGACUUAGAUAAUAAAAGCACAGAUUUACUGUGUAUUAAUAGGCUGUAUACGUGGUGGACGGCAGAUCAUAA
This is a non-coding RNA of Pelobates cultripes (western spadefoot toad), 240 nucleotides long. Lineage: Eukaryota; Metazoa; Chordata; Amphibia; Anura; Pelobatidae. The record is from the annotation of a GenBank genome assembly.